Molecule: unclassified non-coding RNA, 151 nt
Filed under: uncultured Podospora
Lineage: Eukaryota; Fungi; Ascomycota; Sordariomycetes; Sordariales; Lasiosphaeriaceae
Description: partial internal transcribed spacer 2
Source: RNAcentral
CAACCAUCAAGCCCUAGGCUUGCGUUGGAGCCCUGCGGCCGCCGCAGCCUCCUAAAACCAGUGGCGGGCUCGCUAUCACACCGAGUGCAGUAGUUUACUCUUCGCUCAGGGCGUGUGGCGGGUGCUGGCCGUAAAACCCCCUACUUCUUAA